GUGAGGAAUAUUGGGCAAUGCCCGCAAGGGUGACCCAGCAACGCCGCGUGGAGGAUGAAUGUCGUAAGAUUGUAAACUCCUGUUAGAGGGGAAGAAUAGUACCGGUUGGACCGGUAUAUGACUGUACCCUCAGAGAAAGCCCCGGCUAACUACGUGCCAGCAGCCGCGGUAAUACGUAGGGGGCAAGCGUUGUCCGGAUUUACUGGGUGUAAAGGGCGCGCAGGCGGGAUAAAAAGUCAGUGGUGAAAUCCUACAGCUUAAUUGUAGAACUGCCUUUGAUACUUUUAUUCUUGAGUUCGGGAGAGAGAGACGGAAUUCCAGGUGUAGUGGUGAAAUACGUAGAUAUCUGGAAGAACACCAGUUGCGAAGGCGGUCUCUUGGUCCGACACUGACGCUGAGGCGCGAAAGCGUG
This 412-nucleotide ribosomal RNA is filed under the name uncultured bacterium. RNAcentral describes it as "bacterial SSU rRNA". It matches the Rfam family "Bacterial small subunit ribosomal RNA", at positions 354 to 763 of the family's 1533-position model. The record is from RNAcentral.